GACGAACGCCGGCGGCGUGCUUAACACAUGCAAGUCGAACGGAAAGGCCCUGCUUUUGCGGGGUGCUCGAGUGGCGAACGGGUGAGUAACACGUGAGUAACCUGCCCUUGACUUUGGGAUAACUUCAGGAAACUGGGGCUAAUACCGGAUAGGAGCUCCUGCUGCAUGGUGGGGGUUGGAAAGUUUCGGCGGUUGGGGAUGGACUCGCGGCUUAUCAGCUUGUUGGUGGGGUAGUGGCUUACCAAGGCUUUGACGGGUAGCCGGCCUGAGAGGGUGACCGGCCACAUUGGGACUGAGAUACGGCCCAGACUCCUACGGGAGGCAGCAGUGGGGAAUAUUGCACAAUGGGCGGAAGCCUGAUGCAGCAACGCCGCGUGCGGGAUGACGGCCUUCGGGUUGUAAACCGCUUUCGCCUGUGACGAAGCGUGAGUGACGGUAAUGGGUAAAGAAGCACCGGCUAACUACGUGCCAGCAGCCGCGGUGAUACGUAGGGUGCGAGCGUUGUCCGGAUUUAUUGGGCGUAAGGGCUCGUAGGUGGUUGAUCGCGUCGGAAGUGUAAUCUUGGGGCUUAACCCUGAGCGUGCUUUCGAUACGGGUUGACUUGAGGAAGGUAGGGGAGGAUGGAAUUCCUGGUGGAGCGGUGGAAUGCGCAGAUAUCAGGAGGAACACCAGUGGCGAAGGCGGUUCUCUGGGCCUUUCCUGACGCUGAGGAGCGAAAGCGUGGGGAGCGAACAGGCUUAGAUACCCUGGUAGUCCACGCUGUAAACGGUGGGUACUAGGUGUGGGGUCCAUUCCACGGGUUCCGUGCCGUAGCUAACGCUUUAAGUACCCCGCCUGGGGAGUACGGCCGCAAGGCUAAAACUCAAAGGAAUUGACGGGGCCCCGCACAAGCGGCGGAGCAUGCGGAUUAAUUCGAUGCAACGCGUAGAACCUUACCUGGGUUUGACAUGGAUCGGGAGUGCUCAGAGAUGGGUGUGCCUCUUUUGGGGUCGGUUCACAGGUGGUGCAUGGCUGUCGUCAGCUCGUGUCGUGAGAUGUUGGGUUAAGUCCCGCAACGAGCGCAACCCUUGUUCACUGUUGCCAGCACGUUAUGGUGGGGACUCAGUGGAGACCGCCGGGGUCAACUCGGAGGAAGGUGGGGAUGACGUCAAGUCAUCAUGCCCCUUAUGUCCAGGGCUUCACGCAUGCUACAAUGGCUGGUACAGAGAGUGGCGAGCCUGUGAGGGUGAGCGAAUCUCGGAAAGCCGGUCUCAGUUCGGAUUGGGGUCUGCAACUCGACCUCAUGAAGUCGGAGUCGCUAGUAAUCGCAGAUCAGCAACGCUGCGGUGAAUACGUUCCCGGGGCU
RNAcentral lists this ribosomal RNA (1345 nucleotides) under uncultured bacterium. Its description in RNAcentral is "partial 16S ribosomal RNA". It matches the Rfam family "Bacterial small subunit ribosomal RNA", at positions 28 to 1381 of the family's 1533-position model. The record is from RNAcentral.